AUGCAGACACCAAAUAUGGGCAAAAGUCUGUAUUAAAUAAGCUGAAUAAGCUAAAUUGAAUCAUUUUAAAAAUACGUUUACGGCAUUUGAUGCGUGCCACAGCGGUUUAUACGUGAUUUAAUACAUAUUACUUAUUGUAAUUGACGUUAGUGUGUCAAGCGGAUAUAUCACUAGAUAAUUGCCAACAACUAGUUUUCUAUAGUAAAUACUAUAUAUAUCCAAAAACUUAAUAUGAAGCGCUUAUAUUACGGCCUGAUCUGUCUGUGCUUCAAUGCUAAUUGGCUCCUGGCGGAUAUUGUGCAAUACGAUCCAGCGGUAAUAGAAGAUGCGCAUUUGCGAACUCCUGGUUUGAUCAAGAAGUAUGGCUACAACUUUGAGGAGCAUAAGGUGGACACCAAAGAUGGCUUUCGUUUGACACUGCAUCGCAUAGCCAAGCCUGGGGCGCAGCCUGUGCUGCUGGUGCAUGGUCUGGAGGACAGCUCCUCGGCGUGGGUUAUGACGGGCUCUGGCCGUGGCUUGGGCUAUCUGCUCAGUGAUCGCGGCUAUGAUGUCUGGUUGAUGAAUUGCCGUGGUAAUCGCUACUCGCGCAAGCAUCGCAAAUUUCAUAUAUACCAACGUCAGUUCUGGGACUUUUCGUUCCAUGAGAUAGGCAUUUACGAUCUGCCCGCGACCAUUGACUAUGUGCUGGCCCUCAGCAAGGGUCACGCUCAGCUGCACUAUGUGGGCCACUCGCAGGGCACCACGGCGGCCUUUGUGCUGGGCGCCGAGAAACCAGCCUAUAUGAAAAAGAUCAAACUAAUGCAGGCCCUCGCCCCGGUUGCUUAUUUCGAAUAUCUUGAAAUGCCACUGCUUCGAGCUCUGGCCCCCUACAUGCCAAGCAUUGUGCGUUUGCUUCAAGGUCUGGGAAUUAAUGAAUUGCCACCGGAAACAGAAGUCUGGCGUGAAUUAAGCUACAAAUAUUGCAGCCUUGCAUUUCCCAAUACGUGCGCCAAUUUGAUAAUGCAAUUAGUUGGCAUAGACCUGGAGCAGGUGAAUAUCACACUUACGCCUAUAAUUCUGGGCCAAUAUCCUGCUGGCAGUUCGGUCAAGUCUGUCAGCCACUAUAGCCAGCAGGUGCUGAGCGGUGGUUUCUACAAGUAUGACUACGAGAGUCCCUAUAUGAAUUGGCAAGAAUAUGGCACUAUUACGCCACCAGCGUACAAGUUGGCCAACGUUAACUGCAAAGUCGCCUUGUUUUAUGGCCAAAAUGAUUUGCUCGUCGCUGUCAAAGAUGUGCAGCGGCUGCGCAAGGAGCUGCCAAAUGUUGUGCACGAUGAGAAACUGGCCUACAAAAAAUUCAAUCAUAUCGACUUUCUCACUGCAAUCGACGUCAAAGAGUUGCUCUACAACAGCAUGUUUCAAGUCAUGGAAAAGGUCGACAAAGGCGAACUCUAGUUGGAAACGAAUACAAUUUCUGAUGUAAUUGAAAAACCGAAACAGUUUUUGUUUCAAUUUAAUAAUGUUGGGACCGCGUUUAACAGUGUAAUUUAAGAGCGGUAAUUGAUCCAAUGUAAGACAUUACGCUCAUUUGAUACCUUUAUUCUCUAUUCCUCUCAUGGUUCUUUAACUCUCGAUCAAACGCAUUGGCUUGAUCAUGCUAAGCCAUGCUCUCGUAGUUCGAGCUUAGCGUUUGAAUGCUGCAGUUGUGCGUAUAGCUCUGGUGUUUGAAUUGUCUAUAUUACAAAUAUUUUCUGAGGAUUCUUUAAUUGGAUUUAUAGCAACUAAUUGAGU
Molecule: RNA transcript, 1770 nt
Organism: Drosophila hydei
Lineage: Eukaryota; Metazoa; Arthropoda; Insecta; Diptera; Drosophilidae
Gene name: lipase 1
Exons: 5
Source: RefSeq, a predicted model, not a curated record